Molecule: ribosomal RNA, 377 nt
Filed under: uncultured bacterium
Lineage: Bacteria
Description: bacterial SSU rRNA
Rfam family: Bacterial small subunit ribosomal RNA
Source: RNAcentral
AUACGUAGGGAGCAAGCGUUAUCCGGAUUUACUGGGUGUAAAGGGCGCGCAGGCGGGAAGACAAGUUGGGAGUGAAAUCCGGGGGCUCAACCCCCGAACUGCUUUCAAAACUGUUUUUCUUGAGUGAUGGAGAGGCAGGCGGAAUUCCCAGUGUAGCGGUGAAAUGCGUAGAUAUUGGGAGGAACACCAGUGGCGAAGGCGGCCUGCUGGACAUUAACUGACGCUGAGGCGCGAAAGCGUGGGGAGCAAACAGGAUUAGAUACCCUGGUAGUCCACGCCGUAAACGAUGGAUACUAGGUGUGGGAGGUAUUGACCCCUUCCGUGCCGGCGUUAACACAAUAAGUAUCCCACCUGGGGAGUACGAUCGCAAGGUUGAA